UACGUAGGCAGCGAGCGUUGUUCGGAGUUACUGGGCGUAAAGGGUGUGUAGGCGGUUGUUUAAGUUUGGUGUGAAAUCUCCCGGCUCAACUGGGAGGGUGCGCCGAAUACUGAAUGACUUGGAGUGCGGGAGAGGAGAGUGGAAUUCCUGGUGUAGCGGUGAAAUGCGUAGAUAUCAGGAGGAACAUCGGUGGUGUAGACGGCUCUCUGGACCGUAACUGACGCUGAGACACGAAAGCGUGGGUAGCAAACAGG
Molecule: ribosomal RNA, 254 nt
Filed under: uncultured bacterium
Lineage: Bacteria
Description: partial 16S ribosomal RNA
Rfam family: Bacterial small subunit ribosomal RNA
Source: RNAcentral